Molecule: ribosomal RNA, 1776 nt
Filed under: Macrostomum lignano
Lineage: Eukaryota; Metazoa; Platyhelminthes; Macrostomidae
Description: SSU rRNA
Rfam family: Eukaryotic small subunit ribosomal RNA (bases 1-1207)
Source: RNAcentral
UCUGGUUGAUCCUGCCAGUAGUCAUAUGCUUGUCUCAAAGAUUAAGCCAUGCAUGUCUAAGUACAAACCUUAAUACGGUGAAACCGCGAAUGGCUCAUUAAAUCAGCUAUGGUUCCUUAGAUCGUCUCAUCCUACUCGGAUAACUGUGGAAAAUCUAGAGCUAAUACGUGCUUACAAGCCCUGACCUCACGGGAGGGCGCAUUUAUUAGAUCAAAACCAAUCGGGGCUUGCCCCGUCUGCUUGGUGACUCUGGAUAACUUUUGUGCUGAUCGCAUGGCCUCUGCGCUGGCGACGUAUCUUUCAAGUGUCUGCCCUAUCAACUUACGAUGGUAGGUGAUAUGCCUACCAUGGUUAUAACGGGUAACGGGGAAUCAGGGUUCGAUUCCGGAGAGGGAGCCUGAGAAACGGCUACCACAUCUAAGGAAGGCAGCAGGCGCGCAAAUUACCCACUCCCGCACGGGGAGGUAGUGACGAAAAAUAACGAUACGGGACUCUUUUGAGGCCCCGUAAUUGGAAUGAGUACACUUUAAAUCCGUUAACAAGUAUCUAUUGGAGGGCAAGUCUGGUGCCAGCAGCCGCGGUAAUUCCAGCUCCAAUAGCGUAUAUUAAUGUUGCUGCAGUUAAAAAGCUCGUAGUUGGAUCUGAGGACUCGAAUUGGUGGUGCACCAUACGGUGUUACUGCCGAUUCGGCCUACCUAGUCGGUGCUCGCUCUUGGUGUUCUUAAUUGAAUGCCCUGAGUGCCCGGCAAGUUUACUUUGAAAAAAUUAGAGUGCUCAAAGCAGGCCAUUAGCCGGAAUACUUCAGCAUGGAAUAAUGGAAUAGGACUUCGGUUCUAUUUUGUUGGUUUUCGGAACCCGAGGUAAUGAUUAAGAGAGACAGACGGGGGCAUUCGUACUGCGGUGUUAGAGGUGAAAUUCUUGGAUCGCCGCAAGACGAACAACUGCGAAAGCAUUUGCCAAGAAUGUUUUCAUUAAUCAAGAACGAAAGUCAGAGGUUCGAAGACGAUCAGAUACCGUCCUAGUUCUGACCAUAAACGAUGCCAACUGGCGAUCCGAGAUCGUUUGCUUAUUGACCUCUCGGGCAGCCUCCGGGAAACCAAAGUUUUUAGUUCCGGGGAAGUAUGGUUGCAAAGCUGGAAGCCUUCGCCGGCUGCCGCGUCCGCGCUUGACUGUGAUGGCGAGGCCUGGCCAUGAAAUUCGGUCAGUGGUUGAGGUAGAGAUUGACGAGUCAAAAACCGCGAAAAUUACAAAAAAAAUAUACUAGUACUCGUUUGGGAGUGCCAAUAAAGGCAUGCGCAACCAUACUUACCGGAAAGUCCAGCCCCACCUGCACGUGGUCCCCCCUGCUCACUCUGAAUGAUCGGUCCCAGCGAUCAGGAGUUAUCUAACGGGGCUCUGGCAACCAAGGAGGGUCGGGUUUGCACCCCGGCCUUCUGUACCAGCACAUCCGCACCGGGCAAAAUUAAUGCUACAAAGUCAUCGCCUGAAGAUGACUCCCGGCGGUGCCGGGGAACCGCAACUGGCGCCUCAACGGUUGCGGCCGGUGGCAUUGGGUGUGCUUUUGGGUACUCCGGUCCUCGGAGUCUGAAAUGCUUGCAGUGUGAAGAGUUGGUCAAGACCGAGAAUGAGGGUAGAGAACAUGCAAAGUCAAAACAUCUAUCAGAGUCGGUCACUAUCUGGUGCUGUAAAUGCAACGCCUUCAACCGCGCAAAUCUGAAAGGAGUGGUGUCCCAUUGGGGUAGCUGUAAGGGCCCGGUGGCCGUUGUAGCCCCUGGA